GACGAACGCUGGCGGCGUGCUUAACACAUGCAAGUCGAACGGUAAGGCCCUUCGGGGUACACGAGUGGCGAACGGGUGAGUAACACGUGGGUGAUCUGCCCUGCACUUUGGGAUAAGCCUGGGAAACUGGGUCUAAUACCGAAUAUGACCAUGGACUUCACGGUUUGUGGUGGAAAGCUUUUGCGGUGUGGGAUGGGCCCGCGGCCUAUCAGCUUGUUGGUGGGGUAAUGGCCCUACCAAGGCGACGACGGGUAGCCAGCCUGAGAGGGGUGGACCGGCCACACUGGGACUGAGAUACGGCCCAGACUCCUACGGGAGGCAGCAGUGGGGAAGUAUUGCACAAUGGGCGCAAGCCUGAUGCAGCGACGCCGCGUGGGGGAUGACGGCCUUCGGGUUGUUAAACCGUACCUUUCUACCUACGGAC
RNAcentral lists this ribosomal RNA (424 nucleotides) under uncultured bacterium. Its description in RNAcentral is "bacterial SSU rRNA". It matches the Rfam family "Bacterial small subunit ribosomal RNA", at positions 28 to 453 of the family's 1533-position model. The record is from RNAcentral.